This 255-nucleotide unclassified non-coding RNA is filed under the name Hevea brasiliensis (rubber tree). Lineage: Eukaryota; Viridiplantae; Streptophyta; Magnoliopsida; Malpighiales; Euphorbiaceae. The record is from RNAcentral.
UAGAAACUGGGUAAUCUAAUGAUGUUAAUUAAUUAGUCUCUUUUGUACAAAGAGAAGUUUGGUUAUCUAAUGGGAUUCUCACUUUUUUCUUUUCAUCCCCAUUAGCAUUUCUUGCUUUUGUUUUAGUAGCUCAGUAACUUCUGCAACAUGUAUUGUAUAAUUCUUGUAAAGAUAAUGGUCCACCAUUGAGGUUAACAACCCAAUUAAUUAUAGCUUUAGAGAAUGUGUGCAAUUUAGUGAUCCCAAUUACAAAAG